GGCUGGGACCCCAGCCCCACAUUGUGCCAGGGAAGGAGUUGGUGCUUUAUCAGCUGUGAAGGUUGAUAGUGUGCUUUCUAUAUAAUGAAGUUUCCGUUACAAAGCUUGAAUUCCAACUUCAGCACCCCACCAUUGAAGACUUCAAACAGCAAGUGGAUAUAGUCAAGUUGAAGAUUUUUCUCUGAAAUUGUUUAAGUAGCAAGAAAACUGGCCGUCUAAAUCACAAAAUCAGCAAAACAAAAAGUGUCAUUGAAAUAGCCCAAUGAUUGAAUUGUUACUGCUUACUGGAGCUGGGAGUACGGUUUGGAAAGACACUUCUAUAAAAGACGAAGUUGGUUGUACUUCCCAUGAAACCAUUACUUGAAGACACACGUUUGCAUAAUAGCAAUGAGA
Cercocebus atys (sooty mangabey) is the source of this 393-nucleotide long non-coding RNA. RefSeq lists it as uncharacterized. The transcript has 4 exons. The record is from RefSeq and is a predicted model, not a curated record. Lineage: Eukaryota; Metazoa; Chordata; Mammalia; Primates; Cercopithecidae.